This 136-nucleotide microRNA precursor is filed under the name Hordeum vulgare. RNAcentral's name for it is "microRNA MIR1122". It matches the Rfam family "MIR1120/MIR1122 microRNA precursor family". The record is from RNAcentral. Lineage: Eukaryota; Viridiplantae; Streptophyta; Magnoliopsida; Poales; Poaceae.
UUUAUACUCUCUCCGUCCCAAAAUUAUUGUUUUGCGUUUGUUUAGAAAUGGAUGUAUCUAAAUAGUAUCACAUGACUAGAUACAUUCAUAUCUAGAUAAAACAAAGACAAGAAUUUUGGAACGGAGGGAGUAUAAA